This is a non-coding RNA of Trichobilharzia regenti, 45 nucleotides long. The record is from Rfam. NCBI's taxonomy places the organism in Eukaryota, Metazoa, Platyhelminthes, Trematoda, Strigeidida, Schistosomatidae.
AUCCAGCUGACGAGUCCCAAACAGGACGAAAUGCGCAUCCUGGAU